CCUACGGGAGGCAGCAGUGAGGAAUAUUGGUCAAUGGCCGCAGGGCUGAACCAGCCAAGUCGCGUGAAGGAUGACUGCCCUACGGGUUGUAAACUUCUUUUGUCAGUGAAUAAAGGGCGCCACGUGUGGCGCUUUGCGAGUACUUGAAGAAAAAGCAUCGGCUAACUCCGUGCCAGCAGCCGCGGUAAUACGGAGGAUCCGAGCGUUAUCCGGAUUUCUUGGGUUUAAAGGGAGCGUAGAUGGGUUGUUAAGUCAGUUGUGAAAGUUUGCGGCUCAACCGUAAAAUUGCAAUUGAUACUGGCAGCCUUGAGUACAGUUGAGGUAGGCGGAAUUCGUGGUGUAGCGGUGAAAUGCUUAGAUAUCACGAAGAACUCCGAUUGCGAAGGCAGCCUACUAAACUGCCACUGACAUUGAUGCUCGAAAGUGUGGGUAUCAAACAGGAUUAGAUACCCUAGUAGUC
This 460-nucleotide ribosomal RNA is filed under the name uncultured bacterium. Its description in RNAcentral is "partial 16S ribosomal RNA". It matches the Rfam family "Bacterial small subunit ribosomal RNA", at positions 338 to 795 of the family's 1533-position model. The record is from RNAcentral.